This 497-nucleotide ribosomal RNA is filed under the name uncultured bacterium. RNAcentral describes it as "partial 16S ribosomal RNA". It matches the Rfam family "Bacterial small subunit ribosomal RNA", at positions 28 to 507 of the family's 1533-position model. The record is from RNAcentral.
GAUGAACGCUGGCGGCGUGCCUAAUACAUGCAAGUCGAGCGAACGGACGAGAAGCUUGCUUCUCUGAUGUUAGCGGCGGACGGGUGAGUAACACGUGGAUAACCUCCCUAUAAGACUGGGAUAACUUCGGGAAACCGGAACUAAUACCGGAUAAUAUUUUGAACCGCAUGGUUCAAAAGUGAAAGACGGUCUUGCUGUCACUUAUAGCUGGAUCCGCGCUGCAUUAGCUAGUUGGUAAGGUAACGGCUUACCAAGGGAACGAAGCAUAGCCGACCUGAGAGGGUGAUCGGCCACACUGGAACUGAGACACGGUCCAGACUCCUACGGGAGGCAGCAGUAGGGAAUCUUCCGCAAAGGGCGAAAGCCUGACGGAGCAACGCCGCGUGAGUGAUGAAGGUCUUCGGAUCGUAAAACUCUGUUAUUAGGGAAGAACAUAUGUGUAAGUAACUGUGCACAUCUUGACGGUACCUAAUCAGAAAGCCACGGCUAACUACGUG